UACGUAGGGGGCAAGCGUUAUCCGGAUUUACUGGGUGUAAAGGGAGCGUAGACGGUAUGGUAAGUCAGAUGUGAAAGCCCGGAGCUCAACUCCGGGACUGCAUUUGAAACUAUCAGACUAGAGUGCAGGAGAGGUAAGUGGAAUUCCUAGUGUAGCGGUGAAAUGCGUAGAUAUUAGGAGGAACACCAGUGGCGAAGGCGGCUUACUGGACUGUAACUGACGUUGAGGCUCGAAAGCGUGGGGAGCAAACAGG
RNAcentral lists this ribosomal RNA (253 nucleotides) under uncultured Lachnospiraceae bacterium. RNAcentral's name for it is "partial 16S ribosomal RNA". It matches the Rfam family "Bacterial small subunit ribosomal RNA", at positions 524 to 776 of the family's 1533-position model. The record is from RNAcentral. Lineage: Bacteria; Bacillati; Bacillota; Clostridia; Lachnospirales; Lachnospiraceae.